This 120-nucleotide ribosomal RNA is filed under the name uncultured bacterium. RNAcentral describes it as "partial 16S ribosomal RNA". The record is from RNAcentral.
GACGAACGUUGGCGGCGUGCCUUACACAUGCAAGUCGUACGCGAAAGGGGAAACCAGCUUGCUGGGGACCCCCGGUAGAGUGGCGAACGGGAGCGUAACACGUGAGGAACCUGCCUCGGA